RNAcentral lists this ribosomal RNA (465 nucleotides) under uncultured bacterium. RNAcentral describes it as "bacterial SSU rRNA". It matches the Rfam family "Bacterial small subunit ribosomal RNA", at positions 338 to 795 of the family's 1533-position model. The record is from RNAcentral.
CCUACGGGGGGCUGCAGUGGGGAAUUUUGGACAAUGGGCGAAAGCCUGAUCCAGCCAUGCCGCGUGCAGGAUGAAGGCCUUCGGGUUGUAAACUGCUUUUGUACGGAACGAAAAGACUCUGGUUAAUACCUGGGGUCCAUGACGGUACCGUAAGAAUAAGCACCGGCUAACUACGUGCCAGCAGCCGCGGUAAUACGUAGGGUGCAAGCGUUAAUCGGAAUUACUGGGCAUAAAGCGUGCGCAGGCGGUUAUAUAAGACAGAUGUGAAGUCCCCGGGCUCAACCUGGGAGCUGCAUUUGUGACUGUAUAGCUAGAGUACGGCAGAGGGGGAUGGAAUUCCGCGUGUAGCAGUGAAAUGCGUAGAUAUGCGGAGGAGCACCGAUGGCGAAGGCAAUCCCCUGGGCCUGUACUGACGCUCAUGCACGAAAGCGUGGGGAGCAAACAGGAUUAGAUACCCCGGUAGUC